GCGUUCCAUUAGCUAGUUGGUGAGGUAACGGCUCACCAAGGCAACGAUGGAUAGGGGAACUGAGAGGUUUAUCCCCCACACUGGUACUGAGACACGGACCAGACUCCUACGGGAGGCAGCAGUGAGGAAUAUUGGUCAAUGGGCGCAAGCCUGAACCAGCCACGUCGCGUGAAGGAAGACGGCCCUACGGGUUGUAAACUUCUUUUGUAAGGGAAUAAAGUGUAGUACGUGUACUAUUUUGCAUGUACCUUACGAAUAAGGAUCGGCUAACUCCGUGCCAGCAGCCGCGGUAAUACGGAGGAUCCGAGCGUUAUCCGGAUUUAUUGGGUUUAAAGGGUGCGCAGGCGGGAGAUUAAGUCGGCGGUGAAAUUUUGCAGCUUAACUGUAAAAGUGCCUUCGAAACUGGUUUCCUUGAGUGUAGAUGAAGUAGGCGGAAUUUGUGGUGUAGCGGUGAAAUGCAUAGAUAUCACGAGGAACUCCGAUUGCGCAGGCAGCUUACUAAACUACUACUGACGCUCAGGCACGAAGGCGUGGGGAUCAAACAGGAUUAGAUACCCUGGUAGUCCACGCAGUAAACGAUGAUUACUCGCUGUUUGCGAUACACAGUAAGCGGCUUAGCGAAAGCGUUAA
Molecule: ribosomal RNA, 630 nt
Filed under: uncultured bacterium
Lineage: Bacteria
Description: bacterial SSU rRNA
Rfam family: Bacterial small subunit ribosomal RNA
Source: RNAcentral